GAUGAACGCUGGCGGCGUGCCUAAUACAUGCAAGUCGAGCGAACAGACGAGGAGCUUGCUCCUCUGACGUUAGCGGCGGACGGGUGAGUAACACGUGGAUAACCUACCUAUAAGACUGGGAUAACUUCGGGAAACCGGAGCUAAUACCGGAUAAUAUAUUGAACCGCAUGGUUCAAUAGUGAAAGACGGUUUUGCUGUCACUUAUAGAUGGAUCCGCGUCGCAUUAGCUAGUUGGUAAGGUAACGGCUUACCAAGGCAACGAUGCGUAGCCGACCUGAGAGGGUGAUCGGCCACACUGGAACUGAGACACGGUCCAGACUCCUACGGGAGGCAGCAGUAGGGAAUCUUCCGCAAUGGGCGAAAGCCUGACGGAGCAACGCCGCGUGAGUGAUGAAGGUCUUCGGAUCGUAAAACUCUGUUAUUAGGGAAGAAAAAAUGUGUAAGUAACUAUGCACGUCUUGACGGUACCUAAUCAGAAAGCCACGGCUAACUACGUG
This 497-nucleotide ribosomal RNA is filed under the name uncultured bacterium. RNAcentral describes it as "partial 16S ribosomal RNA". It matches the Rfam family "Bacterial small subunit ribosomal RNA", at positions 28 to 507 of the family's 1533-position model. The record is from RNAcentral.